CUCUCAUGAUUGACCACCAUGAAGUUCCUCCUCUAUGCGAGAAAAUUCCCAUAAAAAAAACAAUUUAAACAAAGCAAUCGAUCUUACAACCUUCCUCCUUCGAUCUCUCCUCUAUCGUCUUCUUCACCUCUCUCAACAUGGCUAUCCCUGCCUCUUCGCCUUCUUAUGCGAAUCUUGGUUCACCUUCGAAUUCCUCCUCAAUCUCAACAAUAAGUGGACCCCAGUGGAUUUCAAAACUCACCCACAAAUCCUCUUACAAAGGGCGGAGACAGAGCUACCAGCGGUGGACCUGUUUGUGGCGACGGCGGGUGUGGCUUUGGAACCACCCAUAAUGACAGUCAACACCGUACAUGCUGUCACUCUUGGCGGAGGAGUGGCGUGCUACGUGUCAGACGAUGGUUGCUCCCAAUUCUCUCGCCUUUGGAUUCCUUUCUGUAAAAGGUACGAUAUUCAAGCCCGGGCUCCUUUCAGAUAUUUCUCUAAUGACGACGUCGUUUCGCCAAAUGGUUCCGCCCAGUGUCAUCUGGAAUGGCAAAGCACGAAGGUAACGCUUAAUUAAUUACAAAUCUGAACAAAUUAAGAAACGGUAUUUAUAAUAUAAACGAGAGUCUUGAUUAAUUAUGAAUUUGCAGGAGUGAAGAAGCAGUGAAUAGAACGUACGGUGCCCUAUGGAGAGUAUGCCCAUUUUGCAAAUACAGAUCAAAGGGACCAUUCCAAUAUAAUCAAGAUGAAAGCUAAUAAUCCAAACCUGGGUCCAAUGGUGUGGAAUUCUAAUGGUACUGUAUUUAUACUUCUGAAGGAAAUAACUCAAAUAUAUUACUGUCUUUCAAGUGGACUUACCGAAAAAAUGGCCAGCCAAGUGUGC
This is a long non-coding RNA of Humulus lupulus (European hop), 865 nucleotides long. RefSeq lists it as uncharacterized. The transcript has 4 exons. The record is from RefSeq and is a predicted model, not a curated record. NCBI's taxonomy places the organism in Eukaryota, Viridiplantae, Streptophyta, Magnoliopsida, Rosales, Cannabaceae.